Long non-coding RNA from Mytilus californianus (California mussel), 3966 nucleotides. RefSeq lists it as uncharacterized. Lineage: Eukaryota; Metazoa; Mollusca; Bivalvia; Mytilida; Mytilidae. The record is from RefSeq and is a predicted model, not a curated record. The transcript is spliced from 4 exons.
UUUGACAUUUUUACCUUUUAUGUCUGUUUAUUUUGUUCACACAUUGUUGUCAAUAUAAUGGAAUUUUAUGCGACUGUCAUACAAAUGAGAGGUUUAGCUGGAUGUAAAACCAGGUUUAAUCCAUCAUUUUCGACAUAAGGAAAUGCCUGUUCCAAGUCAGGAAUAUGACAGUUGUUUUCCAUUCGUUUGAUGUGUUUGAGCUUUUGAUUUUGCCAUUUGAUGAGGGACUUUCCGUUUUGAAUUUUCCUUGGAGUUCGGUAUUUUUGUUAUUUUACUUUUCACGUGAUUGCAUUGCUUUUAAAAGUUUUCAUCUUCCAUAAGAAAUGAAUAUGGUGUUAUUGUUCAAACAUGUAUCGCCAAUCAUCUUUCAGUUCUAUCAUAGCACUAAAAACGUUUUACAUAUCAAUGAUUGCUUCAGACAUCUAUAUUAAUCAGUCGGUACAUGUGUGCUGUUAAAUCCUUUUCAUUAUGCAUUCUUCUAUACACUCUUAACCUCGUUAACUUGAGUUCAUGUACAAAAAUCAAUGUUCAACCGAACUUUCAAACGUUCCAAAUAUAUUUCAUUGUAUCUGCAAACAGAUGGCAUUAUUCUAUUCAUUUUGAAAUAACAGAAUCCUUUAGGAAUUAAUUAAGCUCACAUAAUACUGUUCAUGCUUGAGACAUGACCGAAAUGUCUUAAGACGUUAAAGUUUUUAUAUUGAUUUUUUGCGCAUGGUUGAUUUCAAAAUAAUCAUGAACUAUGUAAAUUUCUUGCGACAUACAAUAACAAUACAAUAAAUGUCUUCCGAUGUUCAGUUGAAUUGAUUGUAAAGAUAGUUAGUUACCUGAGGAUAUCAUAUAGGAAGUAAAUUGGUGGUCAUUGAUUUCAUGAAUAGAUUACACUGGUUUUUCAAUGAGUUUGAAAAAGAUUAAGCCAUAGUGUGUCAUCAACAGAGUCGAAGGUAUACGAGGAUACUAAUAUGAGCCAAGAACUGUUUUUGGUAAGACUGUCCUUGUACGAUGAAUCGAUGUUUAAAGAAAUGCCAUACAAAGAUAUUAAGAUGGAAAAUUGUCGCAGCCUAGUCCAUAUGGAACAAAGCUUCCAGAAAUAUACCAGAGUGUUUAAGAAGUAAUGUGGCUUUGAACAAAACGAUAUAGCAACUUUGGGCACAUGUUGUUGCUUAUAGAACAAGAUGAUAUGUGUUAAGUGUUAUAGUCAGAAACGAGAAUUUAGCUUUACAUCAAAAUGCUAAGAAAUACAAAAAGAUGCGUCCAAAAGUGUCUCAAGAAGAUAAUCAUAGUUGUAAACACUUAUACAUUUAUAAGGUUGUUGUUAAAAGAAAGGAUGUUUUGAGUGCUGUACAGUACCCGUCUUUGUAAUCAAUUAUGUUUAGCAAAAUAAUUAUACACAUAAAAUUGAGAAUGGAAAUGGGGAAUGUGUCAAAGAGACAACAACCCGACCAUAGAACAGACAACAGCAGAAGGUCACCAACAGGUCUUCAAUGUAGCGAGAAAUUCCCGCACCCGGAGGCGUCCUUCAGCUGGCCCCUAAACAAAUAUAUAUACUAGUUCAGUGAUAAUGAACGCCAUACUAAACUCCAAAUUGUACACAAGAAACUAAAAUUAAAAAUAAUACAAGACUAACAAAGGCUAGAGGCUCCUGACUUGAGACAGGCGCAAAAAUGCGGCGGGGUUAAACAUGUUUAUGAGAUCUCAACCCUCCCCCUAUACCUCUAGCCAAUGUAGAAAAGUAAACGCAUAACAAUACGCACAUUAAAAUUCAGUUCAAGAGAAGUCCGAGUCUGAUGUCAGAAGAUGUAACCAAAGAAAAUAAACAAAAUGACAAUAAUACAUAAAUAACAACAGACUACUAGCAGUUAACUGACAUGCCAGCUCCAGACUUCAAUUAAACUGAUUGAAAGAUUAUGUCUUCAUCAUAUGAAUAUCAGGCACAAUCCUUCCCGUUAGGGGUUUAGUAUCAUACCAUCAUAACAUAUAUGAGAAGAACAUAACAUAGCAUACCUUAAGAAUAAAUAACUUUAUUAGGUUUUAAGGCACCGAUUCACCUUUUCCGUGUGAUAGAUAUUGCCAUCCAAAUGUGCUGUUAUUGUAGUUGAUUCUCCUUUUAUUUUCAUUUUUCUUUUUAUCAACACGAUCUGACAAGGUUCGAAAAUAUUGACACGAUACAUCAACUGGGCUCGGGUAUAUUUUAUACACUAUAUUGACAUUAAUCCAGCCAAAGCAUGAUAUACAUUAACAUGUCUUUUCGAAUUAUCUGUGGUUUCGAAAGUACAAUCAGUCAGCUAUCACAUGUGAUUUUUAAUUUAAUUUUUAUUUCCUUUUAAAUUUUAUCGACAACCUAGUAUUUCAAUAAAAAAAAAAGUCGAUACCAGAUGAUGUUACAUGUCAUUUUCAAAACAUAUGUGUUGUAUUUACUGGUGUACAUGUACGUGUUUAUUGAACUGAUAUAUAAUUACUUAAUGCGAUAAAAAAUAAUCACUAUCUAACAACAAAUCUCAAUCACCAUAUAAAGAAGCGGGACGUUAUUCAGAUGAAACAAUUAGUAAUCGGGAUAGAUUUUAUUAAUUAAGUACUACUUAGAAAAAACUGAGGUAUGAGCGUUCCGGAUAAACGUCAAUCCAGAGAAGUGCAUCGGUCGCAUUACAAUUAUAACGUGUUAUUGUCCUAGACUUACAGCCCUUGGAUGGUGUAAACUUCCCAAAAUAACGUGUAUGGUGUAAUGGUGUAUGGCAUAUGGUGCAAUGGUAGAAGGUGUAUGGUGCUAUGGUGUAUGGUGUAAGGGGAAUGGUGUAAUGGUGUAUGAGGAAUGGUGUGAUUGUGUAACGUGCGAUUGGGAAUGGUGUGAAUGAAUAGUGUACGACAUUUCAUUGGUUGAAACCGAAGUUCAUUUUAUUUUAAUUUUUCGGAUUGUAAACAUAAACAAUAAUAAUAAUCCUAUUGUUCUUUUUUCCCAGUAAAGCAAAUUACUUUACUCGUUAGACUCUAUGUCAUAUAUAUUUAAUAUACACAUAUUAAAAAAUCUUUUUUUUUCAUAUUCUUAUUUACAUUAAACAAUGGCUUUAAAAUUACACACUUGUGAUCACAUGCAGUUAUCAUAAAAGAAAGGAUUUUAUUUAAACUAGAAGGCGGAUAGAAAGGUUAUCCACGCAUCGGAACAGUAUUUUUAUAUCACGGGUUAUCAACAUCAUUUUUAAAGUUGCUUCGUUCCCCACUUUUGACAGUCUCUUUAUAAAUAUCUUAUCGUCAUUCACCUAUGUUUGCCUUGGAUUUACGAUUCUGUUUUCCAAAAAAUGUUCAAAGGAAAAUUGUACAGUGUUAUUGCACAUAAGGUGUUGUAUAAUUAUGAACAAUCUCGUCAAUUUCGUUAGAUUUGUCUUUACGGAUUAUAAAUGAUAUCUUGAACGUCCGAAAAAAUAUACUUAUGUGAAACGGAAUGAAAUAUUUGCCACUUGAUAUUUAGCCACCAACAAAAUCAACCAACCGACAUAAUAUACUAACAGUAUACUUUUCCUAGAAGAGAACUUCUCAUACUUUUCAUUAUAAAGUACAAAUGAAAUCUGUCAUGUCAGUCACACUGUUGGAUGAUGAGGUGGAAUAGUUUUAUUAUACAAACCAUCCUGAACUACUGAGUUUAAAUCAUCACACCUCAGCAAGCACGACUAAUUUAUGCGCAGACCAACCCAUCACACAAUAGCCCAAAAGGAAUCUGUGAUGUACCCGUCCAUAUUCAGAAGUCAUGGAAGUGGGAAAUACAGAUACUGAUACUGACUUUAGUGGCAGUUUUAUAUAACGAAUACAGAGAUGAAAUGCUGGCACUCUAAAUUAAAGCGGACAAGAUUUUGUUAUCAUUGUAUUGCAAUGUUGCUGUCAUUUGUAUUAUACAAUCCAUCCUGACAUCAAAAUAUUGCUGAUUUACUAUGCGGCUGCCGCUAUAUAGAUUUACAUAAUAAAGUGCAAAUAUGGUCA